UUGACACAUUUGAUAUUUUUCAACGUCUGACACGGUCCAUAUGAUUGAGUUCAACUUGAAGAUUAUGUUUGGAAAAAAGAUAAAAGAUACUCCGACUUUAACACAAGUCCAAAUAACCCAAAAGGCUUUUCAAACUACAGUCCAACAGACCACCACCAUCCGUUCGUUACCCACAUAACACAUCGUUGAAUGCUUCUAUGUUUUGGCCUAUACCAAUAUAGAGAUAACACUGAGAAAAUUGUGAAUAGAUUAGAGAAAAAGGAAGAGGAAGACAAGGAAUUAAUACAGCAGCUUAUAGUACUACAAUAAAUGAGUAUUUUAGUUAACAAUUUGUGAAAUUUAUGAAGGCCGAACAAAUUUAUUUUGCAGAAAAGAGGAUUCUACACAAAAAAUAUAUUUCUAUUAAUACAAUUAGAAUUGUAACAAGGUGGAAAUAAUUUAGCACAUGCGAUAAAGACUGAUACACAAGUAGCAUAAAUCGAAGGGAAAAAGCUAGACCAAUGCAUAUACAAAAAUGAAGAUCAUUCUAAUUAAAUUAGUCUCGUAUCUUUAGUACACUUCUAAGUUCAAGGAACUAGUGUGAAAGAAAUUAUCAUUGGUAUGAACUGUAUAAUUGAUGAAGUAAAAUUAUUCACCUGCUCAAUCUCAAAAAUUUAAUUAAGUUGCCACCAUUGUUAUCAUGGGGAUUAUGUCGUCCUCAAAGAAAAAUAAAAAUUUACACACAAGUAUAACAACAACAAUAUAACAAGUACUACUGACCUCAAUUCAUCUUUUCUAUAGGGC
Molecule: long non-coding RNA, 783 nt
Filed under: Olea europaea (common olive)
Lineage: Eukaryota; Viridiplantae; Streptophyta; Magnoliopsida; Lamiales; Oleaceae
Description: long non-coding RNA (OEUR_LNC001677)
Source: RNAcentral